RNAcentral lists this ribosomal RNA (450 nucleotides) under uncultured bacterium. Its description in RNAcentral is "bacterial SSU rRNA". It matches the Rfam family "Bacterial small subunit ribosomal RNA", at positions 355 to 825 of the family's 1533-position model. The record is from RNAcentral.
UCAAGAAACUUCCACAAUGGGCGAAAGCCUGAUGGAGCGACGUCGCGUGAUGGACGAAGUGCUUCGGCACGUAAACAUCUUUUAUGUGGGAUGAAAUUAUUGACAGUACCACAUGAAUAAGGGGCUCCUAACUCUGUGCCAGCAGGAGCGGUAAUACAGAGGCCCCAAGCGUUAUCCGGAAUCACUGGGCGUAAAGGGUGUCGAGGCGGUUGUAUUAGUCGUUCGUAAAAUCUACGAGCUUAACUUGUAGGCGGCGAACGAAACGGUACGACUUGAGGUUUGGAGAGGUGCGUGGAACUCACGGUGUAGGUGUGAAAUCCGUUGAUAUCGUGGGGAACACCAAAGGCGAAGGCAGCACACUGGCCAAAAUCUGACGCUCACACACGAAAGCUAGGGUAGCGAAGAGGAUUAGAUACCCAAGUAGUCCCUGAGCGGGCUGGCAAGGCGCAU